Molecule: ribosomal RNA, 459 nt
Filed under: uncultured bacterium
Lineage: Bacteria
Description: partial 16S ribosomal RNA
Rfam family: Bacterial small subunit ribosomal RNA
Source: RNAcentral
CCUACGGGAGGCAGCAGUGAGGAAUAUUGGUCAAUGGUCGGGAGACUGAACCAGCCAAGCCGCGUGAGGGAUGAAGGUACAGAGUAUCGUAAACCUCUUUUGUCAGGGAACAAAGGCGGGGACGUGUCCCCGGAUGAGUGUACCUGAAGAAAAAGCAUCGGCUAACUCCGUGCCAGCAGCCGCGGUAAUACGGAGGCUGCGAGCUUUAUACGCAUUUUUUGGGUUAAAGGGGUGGGCAGGCGGAAGAUCAAGUCAACGGUAAAAGUGGGGGGCUCAACCUCUUCGAGCAGUUGAAACUGGUUUUCUUGAGUGAGCGAGAAGUAGGCGGAAUGCGUGGUGUAGCGGUGAAAUGCAUAGAUAUCACGCAGAACUCCGAUUGCGAAGGCAGCAUACCGGCGCUCAACUGACGCUCAUGCACGAAAGUGUGGGUAUCGAACAGGAUUAGAUACCCUUGUAGUC